Molecule: non-coding RNA, 171 nt
Organism: Pseudoalteromonas sp. A601
Lineage: Bacteria; Pseudomonadati; Pseudomonadota; Gammaproteobacteria; Alteromonadales; Pseudoalteromonadaceae
Source: Rfam
UAAAUCGCGAGAAAUAGUCGGGAAGAAGCCGCUAGCAUUCUUUAUAAACGUAAGUGCGAGCUGAUGAACAAAAACAUCAUAUGAGGCGUAGGCUGGAGAUGAGCUAGCACAAGAUAGCGAAGUCAUGUGAUCUAACGGCCACCGUAAACAACUACAAUGACACCCACUUUA